CUCCCAGUAACGGCGAGUGAACGGAGAUUAGCCCGUCACCGAAGUCCGGUGCUGCUGCACUCGUGACAAUGUGGUGUUAAGGCAUGCGCCUGGGGUCUCGUGUCUGCCCGAAGUCCAACUUCGAUUAUGGCUUGGAAUUAGCCCAGAGCGGGUGAAAGGCCCGUGCGGGUAGAAGUUGACUGUUAGCGAGAUCCUCAGCUGUGCAUGCUUUCGAGUCGGAUUGCUUGAGAAUGCAGUCCAAAGUGGGUGGUAAACUCCAUCCAAGGCUAAAUACUGGCACGAGUCCGAUAGUAGACAAGUACCGUGAGGGAAAGUUGAAAAGUACUCUGAAGAGAGAGUAAAUAGUACGUGAAGCCGAUCGCAGGGAAGCUGGUGGAGUCAAGCUUCUUGCCUGGAGAAUUCUCGCAUGGAGAUUUUUGUGAUUGUGGGCAGCAUGCUGGACAGCUUGGAAAGAGCUGGGCGCACUCGUGUGUCUCAGGUCAGCCCGGGCCGGCUAAUUGAUCCAGUGUGUUAGCCUUGCUCUGUGCGAUCUAUUCUCCGCGGCAUAGACCACGGUCGAUAGUGCUUUUUAACGUGCCGUCCGACUGUCUAACUGUGCAUUGGUGGGCCCCCGGCUCGCCGAGCGCAGGAUGGCAGUUGGUGCCCGUGGCGCCAGUUCUCACUGGUGCCCAAUCCGUUCUUGAUCGGCCGAUGGCCGGACGGUAUCGUCGCUAUCGUUGAUGUGUGGCUUGUUGCUCACGGGCAGCUCGCCGCUCAGAACCGUGGUUCUGAGGUAGACCUUCCACCCGACCCGUCUUGA
RNAcentral lists this ribosomal RNA (799 nucleotides) under Ligophorus kedahensis. RNAcentral describes it as "eukaryotic LSU rRNA". It matches the Rfam family "Eukaryotic large subunit ribosomal RNA", at positions 77 to 657 of the family's 3401-position model. The record is from RNAcentral. Lineage: Eukaryota; Metazoa; Platyhelminthes; Monogenea; Dactylogyridea; Ancyrocephalidae.